Molecule: ribosomal RNA, 465 nt
Filed under: Vreelandella stevensii
Lineage: Bacteria; Pseudomonadati; Pseudomonadota; Gammaproteobacteria; Oceanospirillales; Halomonadaceae
Description: partial 16S ribosomal RNA
Rfam family: Bacterial small subunit ribosomal RNA
Source: RNAcentral
CCUACGGGAGGCAGCAGUGGGGAAUAUUGGACAAUGGGCGAAAGCCUGAUCCAGCCAUGCCGCGUGUGUGAAGAAGGCCUUCGGGUUGUAAAGCACUUUCAGUGGGGAAGAAAGCCUUGGGGCUAAUACCCUCGAGGAAGGACAUCACCCACAGAAGAAGCACCGGCUAACUCCGUGCCAGCAGCCGCGGUAAUACGGAGGGUGCGAGCGUUAAUCGGAAUUACUGGGCGUAAAGCGCGCGUAGGCGGUCUGAUAAGCCGGUUGUGAAAGCCCCGGGCUCAACCUGGGAACGGCAUCCGGAACUGUCAGGCUAGAGUGCAGGAGAGGAAGGUAGAAUUCCCGGUGUAGCGGUGAAAUGCGUAGAGAUCGGGAGGAAUACCAGUGGCGAAGGCGGCCUUCUGGACUGACACUGACGCUGAGGUGCGAAAGCGUGGGUAGCAAACAGGACUAGAUACCCUAGUAGUC